UAUUCCCCACUGCUGCCUCCCGUAGGAGUCUGGGCCGUGUCUCAGUCCCAAUGUGGCCGUUCUACCUCUCAGUACGGCUACCGAUCGUCGCUUUGGUGGGCCGUUACCUCACCAACUGGCUAAUCGGACGCGAGCCCAUCUUCAAACAAUAAAUCUUUGAUAGCUUCUCCAUGCGGAAAUACUAUCUUAUGGGGUAUUAGUGGAAGUUUCCCUCCAUUAUUCCCCGCUUGAAGGUAGGUUGCUCACGUGUUACUCACCCGUCCGCCACUAAGCUUUGAGAGCAAGCUCUCAAAACUCCGUUCGACUUGCAUGUGUUAAGCGUGCCGCCAGCGUUCAUCCUGAGCCAA
Molecule: ribosomal RNA, 347 nt
Filed under: uncultured rumen bacterium
Lineage: Bacteria
Description: partial 16S ribosomal RNA
Source: RNAcentral